Molecule: ribosomal RNA, 468 nt
Filed under: uncultured bacterium
Lineage: Bacteria
Description: partial 16S ribosomal RNA
Rfam family: Bacterial small subunit ribosomal RNA
Source: RNAcentral
GACGAACGCUGGCGGCGUGCUUAACACAUGCAAGUCGAACGGAAAGGCCCUGCUUUUGUGGGGUGCUCGAGUGGCGAACGGGUGAGUAACACGUGAGUAACCUGCCCUUGACUUUGGGAUAACUUCAGGAAACUGGGGCUAAUACCGGAUAGGAGCUCCUGCUGCAUGGUGGGGGUUGGAAAGUUUCGGCGGUUGGGGAUGGACUCGCGGCUUAUCAGCUUGUUGGUGGGGUAGUGGCUUACCAAGGCUUUGACGGGUAGCCGGCCUGAGAGGGUGUCCGGCCACAUUGGGACUGAGAUACGGCCCAGACUCCUACGGGAGGCAGCAGUGGGGAAUAUUGCACAAUGGGCGGAAGCCUGAUGCAGCAACGCCGCGUGCGGGAUGACGGCCUUCGGGUUGUAAACCGCUUUCGCCUGUGACGAAGCGUGAGUGACGGUAAUGGGUAAAGAAGCACCGGCUAACUACGUG